Long non-coding RNA from Thunnus maccoyii (southern bluefin tuna), 644 nucleotides. RefSeq lists it as uncharacterized. The record is from RefSeq and is a predicted model, not a curated record. The transcript has 4 exons. Lineage: Eukaryota; Metazoa; Chordata; Actinopteri; Scombriformes; Scombridae.
AUUCAGGAAAUACAGGUAAAUGGCGGUUGAAGGGUCGGUUGAAAGCUAAAACAAAACACGUGCACAGUAAAAUACUGGUUUACAGUUGUUUCAGUCACUAUUAACAUAUUACCUUACUGCGACAUUGACUAACAGCAGGAGCUUUACCCGUGAAGACCGCGGUAGUUUGUAAAGUUAGUGCCAGAAAGUUAGCCUAUGUCACAAACAUGUUUGCAAAUAAUUGAGAAAGCGCUCGGUUUGCGCGGAUGGUUGAUGGAUCAUGUGAACGUUGAUGGGAGCUGAAUGAUGUCAUCUCACCUGCACAAGGUGAAUGGGGCCUGAGUGAUAGACCCAGAACCUUUCAUCUCACCCAGUUAUGCUGGCCAGUGGAAACCGUUCAUGAAAGAUGUCACUACGAAGGCUGACUGAGUCAUACUCCAUUGUCUGCUAUCCAGGCCUAUAAGUGCCAGGACAUCAGACUUCCUCAAGCUGUCAGCCUCGUUUUUCCCCCAGAACAACACGAUGUUGAGAUCGGACGAGACUAAGGAAAAAAACAGCUGGUGGAGCUGGAGAGAAACCCUCGCAUUCAGAACGAAAAGAGGUCUAAUCUGUUUUAGCUUCAGCUGCUGCCAAUUAAAGGCAUUUUUCUUUGUGGCUGUCAAGGA